Molecule: ribosomal RNA, 1373 nt
Filed under: uncultured bacterium
Lineage: Bacteria
Description: bacterial SSU rRNA
Rfam family: Bacterial small subunit ribosomal RNA
Source: RNAcentral
GAUGAACGCUGGCGGCGUGCCUAAUACAUGCAAGUCGAGCGAACAGAUAAGGAGCUUGCUCCUUUGACGUUAGCGGCGGACGGGUGAGUAACACGUGGAUAACCUACCUAUAAGACUGGGAUAACUUCGGGAAACCGGAGCUAAUACCGGAUAACAUAUUGAACCGCAUGGUUCAAUAGUGAAAGGCGGCUUUGCUGUCACUUAUAGAUGGAUCCGCGCCGUAUUAGCUAGUUGGUAAGGUAACGGCUUACCAAGGCAACGAUACGUAGCCGACCUGAGAGGGUGAUCGGCCACACUGGAACUGAGACACGGUCCAGACUCCUACGGGAGGCAGCAGUAGGGAAUCUUCCGCAAUGGGCGAAAGCCUGACGGAGCAACGCCGCGUGAGUGAUGAAGGUCUUCGGAUCGUAAAACUCUGUUAUCAGGGAAGAACAAAUGUGUAAGUAACUGUGCACAUCUUGACGGUACCUGAUCAGAAAGCCACGGCUAACUACGUGCCAGCAGCCGCGGUAAUACGUAGGUGGCAAGCGUUAUCCGGAAUUAUUGGGCGUAAAGCGCGCGUAGGCGGUUUUUUAAGUCUGAUGUGAAAGCCCACCGGCUCAACCGUGGAGGGUCAUUGGAAACUGGAAAACUUGAGUGCAGAAGAGGAAAGUGGAAUUCCAUGUGUAGCGGUGAAAUGCGCAGAGAUAUGGAGGAACACCAGUGGCGAAGGCGACUUUCUGGUCUGUAACUGACGCUGAUGUGCGAAAGCGUGGGGAUCAAACAGGAUUAGAUACCCUGGUAGUCCACGCCGUAAACGAUGAGUGCUAAGUGUUAGGGGGUUUCCGCCCCUUAGUGCUGCAGCUAACGCAUUAAGCACUCCGCCUGGGGAGUACGACCGCAAGGUUGAAACUCAAAGGAAUUGACGGGGACCCGCACAAGCGGUGAAGCAUGUGGUUUAAUUCGAAGCAACGCGAAGAACCUUACCAAAUCUUGACAUCCUUUGACCGCUCUAGAGAUAGAGUCUUCCCCUUCGGGGGACAAAGUGACAGGUGGUGCAUGGUUGUCGUCAGCUCGUGUCGUGAGAUGUUGGGUUAAGUCCCGCAACGAGCGCAACCCUUAAGCUUAGUUGCCAUCAUUAAGUUGGGCACUCUAAGUUGACUGCCGGUGACAAACCGGAGGAAGGUGGGGAUGACGUCAAAUCAUCAUGCCCCUUAUGAUUUGGGCUACACACGUGCUACAAUGGACAAUACAAAGGGCAGCUAAACCGCGAGGUCAAGCAAAUCCCAUAAAGUUGUUCUCAGUUCGGAUUGUAGUCUGCAACUCGACUACAUGAAGCUGGAAUCGCUAGUAAUCGUAGAUCAGCAUGCUACGGUGAAUACGUUCCCGGGUCU